CAUGACUUGAACGGAGCAUCGCUCAGCGCCAUGAUGGCCCUAUUCACACUCAGACAGAAGCCCUGCCGGCAUGAGGGUCACAUGAGGACCUCUCCAUGACCCCUGACCACAGUUUGAACCAAGACCCCCCAGUUCAUCCACAUCUGCGGCUGUAGAAAAGGUCACUAGAGAGUUAUGGCAACCUGCCAUUUUAAUAUAUUAAGAGUAGAUUUGUAAUAGAUUAUAUUGAGAAACCAUAGAAAAAAAAAGUUAUUAAUUAUUGAUCAUUUCGCCAUGCAUUUUCAAGGAUUUGUAAGCGAUUGACUGUAUUUUCCAGGAAUCUAGUUCAAGCCCCCUGAUAAGUUUCCUUAUAUAUUCACCCUUUCUGAUGAAGGCCAACAACUAAAAGACUCCUUAGUUGGCUAAGCUGUUUGUUUAAAAGCCCUAAUGGAAUAUUCAGAGCUAAUUCAAACGCAUCCUGAUAACUUAAGACGGCUUGUGGUGUGAUCUCUCUCCCU
This 497-nucleotide long non-coding RNA is filed under the name Carassius auratus (goldfish). Its description in RNAcentral is "lncRNA (ENSCARG00000023095.1)". The record is from RNAcentral. Lineage: Eukaryota; Metazoa; Chordata; Actinopteri; Cypriniformes; Cyprinidae.